AGGAACCUGCCUUGGAGUGGGGAAUAACAGCUGGAAACAGCUGCUAAUACCGCAUAAUAUAUCUGGGUCGCAUGGCUCUGGAUAUCAAAGAUUUAUCGCUCUGAGAUGGACUCGCGUCUGAUUAGCUGGUUGGCGGGGUAACGGCCCACCAAGGCGACGAUCAGUAGCCGGACUGAGAGGUUGGCCGGCCACAUUGGGACUGAGACACGGCCCAGACUCCUACGGAAGGCAGCAG
RNAcentral lists this ribosomal RNA (235 nucleotides) under uncultured bacterium. RNAcentral's name for it is "partial 16S ribosomal RNA". It matches the Rfam family "Bacterial small subunit ribosomal RNA", at positions 120 to 354 of the family's 1533-position model. The record is from RNAcentral.